UCCUUGAAGCAUGUUUUUGUUUAUAUAUAGUCCCACAUUCGCCAUACGGAACUCGAAUUUAGAUUCUGCGCCGCAAACAUCAUGACCAGUUAAACAUAAGGAUUUAAGACAUACGACGACGAGCACAUAGGGGAUAGUAAAUAAUCAGAUAGCGUCAUAUGCAAAGGCUUACCUUUUUUGCCGAUCUUAUUUUGUACCGGCAAUAUCACCAGUGUGGACAUCCAUGUGAACCUGUGUGGUAACCCUUAAGAUUAUGAUUCCUUGCUUUUGUUCGGUUUUCCGUAAAUCACAGUCAUCAUUGCACGCUUUGACCGUUAAAUUUGACUUUAUGAAUCGACCAUAGAGGGUUCCGUGAUGAAGAUCUCAAAAUAAAGCACAAGUGUGUGGAUGCGUCAUGGUCGCCGCAGUUAUCGUACUAUC
Varroa destructor (honeybee mite) is the source of this 420-nucleotide long non-coding RNA. RefSeq lists it as uncharacterized. The record is from RefSeq and is a predicted model, not a curated record. NCBI's taxonomy places the organism in Eukaryota, Metazoa, Arthropoda, Arachnida, Mesostigmata, Varroidae.